Molecule: unclassified non-coding RNA, 330 nt
Filed under: soil metagenome
Description: partial contains 5.8S ribosomal RNA, internal transcribed spacer 2, and large subunit ribosomal RNA
Rfam family: 5.8S ribosomal RNA (bases 1-120)
Source: RNAcentral
GAUGAAGAACGCAGCGAAAUGCGAUAAGUAGUGUGAAUUGCAGAAUUCAGUGAAUCAUCGAAUCUUUGAACGCACAUUGCGCCCCUUGGUAUUCCAUGGGGCAUGCCUGUUCGAGCGUCAUUUGUACCCUCAAGCUUUGCUUGGUGUUGGGCAUCUUGUCUUGUAUUAGACUCGCCUUAAAGUCAUUGGCAGCCAGUGUUUUUGGUAGUAAGCGCAGCACAUUUUGCGUCUUAGUCCUUGAAUCGUGGCAUCCAUGAAGCCUUUUUUCACUUUUGACCUCGGAUCAGGUAGGGAUACCCGCUGAACUUAAGCAUAUCAAUAAGCGGAGGA